This is a long non-coding RNA of Cyprinus carpio carpio, 693 nucleotides long. The record is from Ensembl. NCBI's taxonomy places the organism in Eukaryota, Metazoa, Chordata, Actinopteri, Cypriniformes, Cyprinidae.
CAGAGGCAGAUGACGGUCCUAGGGUUUUUUGCAGCUGAAGGUGUCGGACGUUAGUCUACAGCUGUGUGUCCCUCUGCUGACCGCUGACGCACUCCUUGGACAGAACACGGGAACAAGUCCUUCUCAUCAGACAAGUGUUUGAGUCACCGUAGCCACCAGAUCCAGUCUCUAUUCAGAUCAGAGGGUCACUGCAGUCACCCGGAUCAAGUACCUAUCCAGCCCAGAUGGUGGACCAGCACCUAGAAGGAACCUCUACCGCCCUGAAAGACAGCGGAGACCAGGACAACUAGAUGAGCCCCAGAUACCCUGUAAAGACCUUGUCUCAGAUGACCACCGGGACAAGACCACAGGAACCAGUUGAGUCCUCUGCACAAUCUAACUUUGCGGCAGCCUGGAAUUGAACUGCUGGUUUCGUCUGGUCAGAGGAGAACUGGCCCCCCCACUGAGCCUGGUUUCUCCCAAGGUUUUUUCUCCAUUCUGUCACCGAUGGAGUUUUGGUUCCUUGCCGCUGUCGCCUCUGGCUUGCUUAGUUGGGGACACUUAAUUUACAGCGAUAUUGUUGACUUGAUUGUAAAUGAUUGCACAGAUACUAUUUAAACUGAACUGAGCUGGAUGAUGACAUCACUGAAUUCAUUGAUGAACUGCCUUUAACUGAAAAAUUAGUGUUUACUACUGUCAUUUUGCAUUAUUGAC